This 396-nucleotide unclassified non-coding RNA is filed under the name Hevea brasiliensis (rubber tree). Lineage: Eukaryota; Viridiplantae; Streptophyta; Magnoliopsida; Malpighiales; Euphorbiaceae. The record is from RNAcentral.
GGGAAACCGAAAUUUUACUACUCGUUAGCACGGGAAACCCAACCCUAAACGAAGCUACUGGUUGUAGCCGAAGUAACCAGAAAAAAUCAAAUCAAGACACGAACUUGAUAGAUACAGUAGGACGAUGGCAUGCGAUGGGUUGGUCGGGAGGUAGAGACUUUUAUUACGCCUUGGUGGGCAGCACCGGCACGACGAAGUGCUGCGCGACGAUGCGGCGCUGGAUCUUGCCGGUGGCCGUCUUGGGAAGCUCGUCGGCGAUGUACACCUUCUUGGGCACCUUGAACGCGGCCAGGUUCCUCCGGCAGUAGGCCAGCACCUCCUCUUCCCCGAGCGACACGCCCUCCCGGGGGAUCACCGCGCAGUUGAUCUCCUCCCCGUACUUGGCGUCGGGCACCC